RNAcentral lists this long non-coding RNA (2462 nucleotides) under Volvox carteri. Its description in RNAcentral is "long non-coding RNA (VCAR_LNC002443)". Lineage: Eukaryota; Viridiplantae; Chlorophyta; Chlorophyceae; Chlamydomonadales; Volvocaceae. The record is from RNAcentral.
UAACGGUUGCUUUCUGCGACUCAGCGAAGCAGCAGUGGUGCAUUUCUUAGGGUUCCCGGUAAUGGCGAUAGAGACACAAUCUGGACCGCUAACUUGCAGGUCCUCAGUGGUAACAUUCAUCUGCAUGUGUUGCUCAUAGCACUGUAGCCUGGGUACCUGCAAACAUGCGAGAGAUGUUGGCAUGUCCUCGGGGAGGAUGUGUCUGAGAGCGCUAGUGUGCUAGUCCAGUCCGCCAGUCCAGUACACACACACACACACACACACACACACGCGCGCGCGUGCGUAGACAUGGAGAGCGCUGGGAGUGUAGUCCUUUGUUCUGCAGUGAACAAAUGCAGUGUUCCAAAUUGUUGGCGGCUUGUAGUAUAGUUGUUGUUGGCAAGUGGCAUUAGCUAAUAGGCGCGGGUUGCUUGUUGGUUGGCAUGUAGCGCUCGUUUACAGCUUUGCCUCCCUGCAUCCAGUGCAGCCUUAGGCCUUAGUUGGUGGAAAGCCAGUACAGGAGUCUGUGAAGAUGCCAGGCAAGGCAGAGACUUGUGAUCUGCAGCCUCUGCAGUCUCUGGGUAGCGACCACGGCUACAUACGGAUGGCUAUGGUGGCUAAGUUCACUUAUUCACUGCUGCUGCGUCAACUGCCCGAUGCAGCGUCCCUACCUAACGAGGUAGCUUCCAGACAGCCAUUCCGCCGAGGACUGAUAGGUUUGGCGGAGUGUCUUAUCUGCACCUCUUCGGCUAUACAUUUGAUGGGCGGGGGUGCGUGCAAGGCCGACGUACAUGCAGAGUAGUUGCAGGCUCGCGGAGAAUUGUGCCAGUAGUGUGCGGUGUUGUAGUAAAUAACAUUUCAACGACAUAAUUAACUAGGCCAUAACAGCGCAUACCGCAUGUGUUUUAUAAGGGCCUUAGGCAGCUUUACAGGUUAGGCAGUCAGUCAUCCGUCAACCGGGCUGACUUCCGGAAAGUUAGUUCAUUCAGAGUUCAUCCAUCCCGCAGGCGCCGUGGGGGCCUGAGAUGUUAAGCAUGUAUGUGUAACAGUUUUUUAUGGUCACCUCAAUCUCUGAUUCCGACGGCAUGCAACCGUGGAGCUAGAGGCAUGCUCCUUCCAAUCAUAGUGCCAAGUACGGCCCCUUGCAGCAGAGCGCGCGCGUACGUUAAUUAUCGAUCUGUUAGAAGACAGCUGACGUAUCGCCAGCACCGCGAACGGUGCACAGGUGUCCUUGACCUUAGGUGCAGGAUGGGAAAGUGGAUAGUGGAAGCAGGUUUAUGUUGGGAAUGUUAGCAGUGGCGGCAAGGAUAGUAAGCAUUUGCUUCUGCAGGUACAGCAUUACGGGUGCAUGAGGCUACUUGCAAGCUGUAUGUAUGUAUGUAUGUAUGUAUGUAUGUAUGUAUGUAUGUAUGCAUGCAUUAUGUUGCCCGAAAUUGUGCAAGGCCAGGGAAACGUUGGCCCCCCUGCUUGCUUUGUUACCUAUCUUCGCUGCCCGGACCCAGCUUUCCGGAGUUAUCUGGAACAAAGCCAAGCCGCCACGUACUGUGUGGACGCGCAGAGGCAGGCGGUGGAAGCAUGAAGCGCGUGCGGGGGGGAUUGCAACACGUCCCUCACGGCUCGGGCUGUCUGCAUGAUCAAAUCUGGUCACGAGCGUUAAAUACCACCUCCUGGUUAUUAUAGCUUCCGAGGGCUCGUCAUUAGUUGGAGAGAUGGAUGGACAGAUGGAUGGAUUACUUGUUUCGUUGGAAGUGCGAGGUAGGAUGGUGCUUAUAGGCGAAUUGGCAGCCCUUGAGCUCUCGGCUCGUAUUAGGGUGGUUUGCAGGUACAGGGAACGCACCCACGGCAGCCACCAUCCGCAUUUCAGAUCUGCUGCAACAGGAUGAUAGAUAAGCAGCAAAUACAAGAAAUCCGUCACCACUUCCUGACAGCUUUCCUUACACUGCACUUCUCGGCUGGGUCCAGUCAGUGCUGGCAGGCAGGUUGGCUUCCAUGCAAGCCGUCUUUAGAGCUCUCCUCGCGUAAACUCGUACUUAAUGAUCGCCAGGCAAGAGAGCUGAAUGAUUUAUGAAUGAUGGAAUGCCUAUGGACUCAUUAUCAAUGGCUGACAUAGCCAGAAGCAGAGAUGAAUUGGCUUGGGGGAAGAUGCCCUAUCGUGUUCCCGUUUUCCGUCUGGGCUCCUUAGAUACUUAUUAGGUUGUGUGGGAUGAUUUUUGCAUAUGUUAGCAGGUGCGGGCCCUAGCAAAUUAUUUUAGGAUAAGUCGCAGCGUUUCCUUUUGGCGGGCUUUGCAGCAACUCCAUGUAUCAACGCGCAACACCUUUGUCGCUGGAGAAGCGUCUUCCUGUGCGGUGUAAUAUCUAACAAGCAGAUGUCGAAGUUUUACUGCAUUGCUACGACUGCAAACGCAUUCGAUGCAAUUUGUACUGCUACAGCACGUCCAGGAGCAACGCCCCUUGCAGUCGUUCUGCAGUUACGUAUUACUAGG